CCUGACUGCUAUUGGAGUAGGACUAAGUCACGCUAGUCAAAGGUGCGGAAUGGAGCAGCUGGCGUACGGCUCAGUAACACGUAGUCAACCUACCCUAAGGACGAGGACAACCACGGGAAACUGUGGCUAAUACUCGAUAAGAAAUUUGGCCUGGAACGGUAUCUUUCACAAAACCGGCUCGCCGUGAGACACGGGCCUUAGGAUGGGGCUGCGGCUGAUUAUGCUAGAUGGCGGUGUAAAGGACCACCAUGGCUACGAUCAGCAUGGGCGAUGGAAGUCGGAGCCCAGAGUCGGCUACUGAGACAAGGAGCCGAGCUUUACGAAGCUUAGCGGUCGCGAAAACUCGCCAAUGCACGAAAGUGUGAGUGGGCUACUCCAAGUGUCAUUCUUACGGAUGACUGUCGCUCAGUCUUACCAGCUGAGAAAGGAAGGAGAGGGCAAGGCUGGUGCCAGCCGCCGCGGUAAAACCAGCUCUUCGAGUGGUCAGGACGAAUAUUGGGUCUAAAGCGCUCGUAGCCGGACAAGUAGGUUCUUGGUUAAACCCGACAGCAUAACUGUUGGCCUGCUGGGAAUACCGCUAGUCUUGGAAGCGGGAGAGGACAGAGGUAGUCAUAGGGCAGGGGUGAAAUCCAGUGAUCCUAUGGCGACCACCGAUGGCGAAGGCAUCUGUCUGGAACGUAUUCGACGGUGAGGGGCGAAAGCUAGGGGAGCGACCCGGAUUAGAUACCCGGUUAGUCCUAGCCGUAAACGAUGCGGACUAGGUGUUACAGCGGCCAAGAGCCACUGUAGUGCCACAGCGAAGGCGUUAAGUCCGCCACCUGGGGAGUACGGAUGCAAGUCUGAAACUUAAAGGAAUUGACGGGGGCGCACCACCAGGAGUGAAGCCUGCGGUUUAAUUGGAUUCAACGCCGGG
This 913-nucleotide ribosomal RNA is filed under the name uncultured archaeon. RNAcentral describes it as "bacterial SSU rRNA". It matches the Rfam family "Archaeal small subunit ribosomal RNA", at positions 21 to 922 of the family's 1478-position model. The record is from RNAcentral.